AUCCGCAGUUAGAAAGUGCGAAACUAUUUGACGGGAUUAAAUAGGGCCAAAACGUAAAACUGUUUCUCCCCAAAACCAAUCAAAGCUUGCGAGCUGCUAAUUAAAUUAUAAAACAUACAGAAGCGUUGAAGACGUCGCAGACCGAACCAAACCAAGCCCACAAUCCCCGCUCGUUGGCCUAUUUCGCUGGACUAAACGGAAGAUAUAGGGAGUGCGAAACAGGGAGAGAGAGUGUAAAACGAGACACACGGCUGGCUAAUAGGAGCUCAGCGCACUAUGUAGAAGUCCGACUCGACGCCAAGGGGAAACCAACUAGCGAGCAGAAGCGUAGUAGAAGCACCACAGUAGCAGAGGACUAAACAAAAGCCACGCCAUGUCUAUACUGACCAGCCUGAAGAAGGUCUUCCACAUCGGUGGCGGGGAGGCCAAGAAGAAGCGGCUCUACAACAACAUCAAGAUGGACACAAACCCGGAGGAUUUCUGGGAGAUGGUCGGUGAGCUGGGCGACGGCGCCUUUGGCAAGGUGUACAAGGCCCAGCACAAGGAACAGAAGCGCUUCGCCGCCGCCAAGAUGUGUACGCUGGAGGACGAGGAGAAUCUCAGCGACCACAUGGUGGAGAUCGAUAUUCUCUCGGAGAUCAAGCACCCCAAUGUGGUGGAGCUGUACGAGGCCUUCUCCCUUGACGAUAAGCUGUGGAUGCUCAUCGAGUACUGCGAUGGCGGAGCCCUGGACAGCAUUAUGGUGGAGCUGGAGAAGCCACUAACUGAGCCGCAAAUUGCCUACGUGUGCAAGCACAUGACCGAGGGCCUAACCUUCCUGCACCGCAACAAGGUCAUCCAUCGCGACUUGAAGGCCGGCAACGUUCUGCUCACCAUGGAGGGUGGCGUCAAGCUGGCGGACUUUGGCGUCUCGGCCAAGAACAAACACACGAUGCAGAAGCACGACACUUUCAUCGGCACGCCCUACUGGAUGGCGCCAGAGCUGGUGUUGUGCGAAACGUUCCGGGACAACCCGUACGAUCACAAAGUGGACGUCUGGUCACUGGGCAUAACGCUAAUCGAGCUGGCCCAAAUGGAGCCGCCCAACAGCGAGAUGUCGCCGAUGCGUGUCCUCCUCAAGAUCCAAAAGAGUGAGCCGCCCAAGCUGGAGCAGCCGGCCAGGUGGAGCAAGGAAUUCAAUGACUUCCUCAAGAAGUCUUUAGUCAAGGAUCCCCAGCAGAGGCCGACGACGGAUGUCCUGCUGCAGCAUAGCUUCAUCAGCAGGGACAUGGACGCAAAGCCGAUUAAGGACCUGCUGCUCGAGUACAAGGCUGAGGUCGUUGAGGAGGUGGUGGACGACGAGACCGAGGAACCCCGCAACUCGGCGCUCCAGCUCGACCUGGACGAUGACUCUGCUUCGCUGCAGAGCCAAGACAUUGACAAACUUCCAGGUACACCUACAUCCAUUUUGCGGGAUGCCAAAGAGCAGCCCCAACCAAGUAGCAGUUUACCAACCGCUGCAGCAGCAGCAGCAGCAGCAGCGACAACUGCACCCACAACAACUAAAGCCACCACUCCGGACAGACCAAACCACAACAAGGAUGACAAUGUUGAGCCGGCAGCCCAGCAGCCGCCGCAUACCAAAGUGCCUGCCCCAGCGCCGCCGUCGCCCCAAAAAACACCACCACCCCCACAACUUCCUGCACCAGCAGCUGCAGCAGCAGCAGCAGCAGUGGUGGCAGCUGUUGCAGAGGCAGCUGAAAGAACCGAGUCCGAUAAAAAGCACUUUGUCAAGAAGGAGAAGGGUAAAGCGCCGCCACCACCCAUGGCUGUUGCAGUCGCCGCUAACGCAGCGAAGCAGCCAACUGUCGAUACUCCGGUGUCGCCCAAGAAGGUGUCCACUCCCGAGCCCUCAUCGCCAGUCACCACAGCUAUCGAAGUGGCCAUUGGACAGGAGACCGUUGAGCCAAAACCGCAGCCACCCUCGCCCACCGCCUCGUCCAUUGUGUCCGUGCAGUCAGUGGCCUCGUCUAGCUCCUCGGGAAGCGUUUCCAAUGCGAGAACGCUCAGCUCUAGCACUUCCCUGAUAACCAUUAACAGUGACGCCCCAGCGCCGCAACAGCCGCCGCCACAGCCGCAGCACGUGGUAUUGCCAAAUAGCUUGGAGUCGGUGAGCCAAAUCACCGUGGUAACUAGCACCCAUCCGCCGGUGAUUAUCGACAACUCGGUUGCACCAUCGGAGGUGAUUAUCGUGUCCAAUGACCUGAACAAGAGCACUCACCUGAACGAAUCCUCCACGGACGACGACUUCCCAUCGCUGGACGACAGCUUGGGUGAUUCUGGCACGCCACCCUACAAACAGUCCUCCAUGAUAUUGGCGGUCAAUGAUCCGGCAGGAGUGGUGCCUGCCCCACCGCAGCAGCCCCAUAAUGCCACCACCACUGUCCAUGCCCGCAAGCUGGACGAGAGCGAGGUACUGAUCGUGAGUCCAUCGUAUGCGGACGAUGAUUCCGCUUAUAAUACGGCAUCGGGCAGCCAUAGUCACGAUCACAGUGACCAGCUGAUGGACACCAGCCACGUGUCCGUCGUCACUGUGGGCGACGAGGGUGUGAAGGUGAAGGACAGCAGCAACGAGAUGGAGGGCCACAAGCGCCAGCCAAACGGAGUGGUACCGGAGGACGUGAACAUCAUUGUGAACCGAUUCAAGCCGGAGAAGCGAUCGCCGGACAGCUCGCUGAGCGAGAACGGCUCUGUGCGAGGACGGCGGGGCAUCGAAGUGCAAGUAAGCGGCAGCGGAGGCUCCGACGUGGACAGCGUUGGCACCAACACUAGUCAUGACAGUCGCCACGAGGUGGAUCACAACAACAAGCAGCAGUCGCAACAGCCACCGGCGGCAGUACUGAUGCCGCCGCCACCUCCCUCCGUGACGAAUAAUCACAAUCACAUGACCAUCGACGAGGAGGAGGAGGUGGUCAUCCGGCCCAGGGCCAGGGCUCCGCCUGUGGUCAAGUCCCACCAGGGGCUCACCAAGGAGGAGAUCGAACUGCGGAACCUGCGCAAGAAAACGCGCAAACGCACCCGCAAGUUCGAGAUCGAUGGCGUGCAAAUGACCACGACCACGAGUCGGGUGAUCUACGGCGACGAGGAGAACGGCCGAAUCUACGAUGAUCACGACUUCCGGAAGCUGGAGUUGCGGGAGCUGAAGAUGCUCCAGAAGCAGGAGAAGAAGCAGCAGACUGAACUGCACAUCAAGGAGCAACAGGCCAAGGAGCAGCAGGACCGCCGCUUCGAGCAGGAGCACUCGUCGCUGGAGAAGACCUACGAAGCGGAUAUGGAUAUGCUGGCGCGCCAGCACAAGCAGCUGGUGGAGAAAACCGAGCAGACGCAGGAGAACGAGCUGCGCUCCUCGUCGAAGCGCAUCCGCUCCGAGCAGGAGCAGGAGCUGAAAAUCUUCCGGGAGAACCUGAAGCAGGAGAUCCGCUUGCUCAAGCAGGAGGUCGACCUCUUCCCCAAGGACAAGCGCAAGGACGAGUUCAAGCAGCGGCGAUCGGCCAUGGAACUGGAUCACGAGGAAAAGGAGCGCGCCUUCCUCGAUUCGCUCAAGGAGCGGCACGAGCUUCUGUUGCGGCGGUUGAGUGAGAAGCACCGGGAGCAUCUGGCCAGCAUCAAUCGCAACUUCCUGCAACAAAAGCAGAAUGCGAUGCGGACGCGUGAGGCUCUGCUCUGGGAACUGGAGGAGAAGCAGCUGCACGAACGCCACCAGCUGUCCAAGCGGCACGUCAAGGAGCUCUGCUUCAUGCAGCGCCAUCAGAUGAUCAUCCGGCACGACAAGGAGCUGGAGCAGGUGAAGCGCAUGUUGCUGCGCAAGGAGGAGGAUCUGGUCAAGAAGCAGACGCUGGAGAAGCGCGCCCUCCCCAAGCGAAUCCGAGCUGAGCGCAAGGCCCGCGACCUAAUGUUCCGGGAAUCGUUGCGCAUUUCAACGAAUCUGGAUCCAGACAUCGAACGCGAGCGCCUCAAGAAGUUCCAGGAGCAGGAGAAGAAGCGCUACAUGCAAGAGGAGCGCCGCUUCGAGGUCAAGCAUCAGAAGCAAUUAGAAGAGCUACGUGCCACACGUGAAUCCGCCAUAAGAGAACUGGAGCAGCUGCAGAACGAGAAGCGCAAGGCCUUGGUGGAGCACGAGCAGACCAAGCUGUCGGAGAUCGACGACCGCCUGAAGGCGGAGCUGCGCGAGUGGCGCGAACAGCUGGCGCCCCGCAAACAGAAACUGAAUGAAUCCAUCAAGGCGGCCAUCGAUCUGCACGAGCAGCGCCACGGCCUGGUGGUCAAUCGGGAGGAGUUCGAGGACCAGGAGGUGGAGCUGCCGGUGCGCCUGCGCGGCAUAUUCAACGAGCGAUCCUCGCGCCUCAUUCCACGCAACACCUUCAUCGACACCCAACAGAUGCCUCGGUCGCGCUCUUCGCUCCUGAUGAUGGGCGGCGGUGGCAGUCGGCUGGCCAACUUCCGAGGAUCGGCACCAGAUCUGAGUCGCAGUGUGCCCAGUACUCCCAUCUUCCACAAGCAGCAGCGCUCCCAGAUGAUCAGCGACCUAGUGCUGGAAGAGGACGAGGAGCAGUUACUGGCUGAGCAGAUGAAGCGGGCCAGCGUCACGACUCUGCCCGCCCAGAGCCAGCUGCGCCUGAUAACCCAGUCGCCGGCCAACGAGCUGGUCAAAGUGGUGACCACCCCGCCGGUGUUGAACAGUGCCGAGGAUGCUAGCUCCAAGCCAGCCAUGAGCACGUUUAGAGGAAGCACUCCACCGAAAACGCCCGACGAUCUGGGCCUGGUGAGCAACCGCUUCAGUCGCGUUGACCCCAAGGCGGCAGCCGACGCCAGCGUGGAGCUGCGGAUCCACGAAGGGCCCGUCCUGACGGCCCACACCCAGCGCCUGCUGCACUCCACCUCGUUUGCGAUAAAGCGACCCUCGCUGGCCAGCCGGAGCAGCGGCCGAUCCUCGCUCAGCAGCGCCCAGUCCAUGUAUAAUAUUAGCGAGCUCACCACCCGUUUCGCCAGCGAUGCGGACGUGAUCUUUGAUUCCGGGCGCAAGGCGGCCGCGCUGCUGGACGAGGUGCAGCCACAGCUGAGAUCAUCGGUGAAGCCGGGACACAGUCGCCUGAAUGGAAGCGUUGCCUCGGCGGACUCGGCAGCCUCCUCAGAUGAUUUCUACUACGAUUUGUAUGCCGCCAAGUACAGGCUGCCGAGGAUCAACCAGCGGCAGCACAGCUGCGAGGAGGAUUCGUCGGCGAUCUAGGAGCGCCAAGAAGGCUCCUGCUCCAGCUCAUGCACCUCGGCCACUCCACUAACAAUCCAAUUGAACAUUUCUACUCACACCCACUAACCCAGACACUCCUCCCUUCUGGUGCUGGCUAACUGCAAAUCCCCACUAGUCCAUCCACUAACAUAUCAUCUUGCUAACCAACUCGGUAGAGACUAUCGUAACCCUAACUCCCUUCUGCUCUGCAUCCGCAUCUGAAUCCUCAUUGGAGAAUGCCAUACACUCUGUCUUGCCAAUGUUUAUUAUGUUUAUUAUGUUUGCAAUUGCAAUUUUAUUGAACGAAAAACAUUAUAGUUUAUGUUGAAAGUAUUGUUCUGACUUGGACCAGCCUUCCGCCUCCAAAUACAUUCCAUUGUAGCAGUAUUAUACAAAGUACUUAGUAAAAAACGAAAUCAGUAAUGAGAAAAAAGAAAAAAAGAAAGAAAUCAAUCGACAUUCCAUACUUAGCCACAUGCCAAGCAUUGUAUAGCCAUAUCUUACUCUAAACAUUUUUAUAAAUAUUUACAUAAACGCAUUAUAAUAUCGUGCUGAAACUUUCAUGAUGCUUCACUGUACACACACUCACUCUUGAAUAAAAACCAUGUACACAUCCAAACCAACAAAAAACGCGCUGCUAUCGAAACAAAAAAAAACAAAAACCAAAAAUCUAUAUCCGAAAACUUUUCUUGCCGGCUCUCCUCCUCACCUCGUAAUGUGUAAAGCAACUACAGCAGCGGCUGCAACAAGAGCGCCUGGAGGAGACCUUCGCCCAGCAGAUGGACGAAAUGGAGUCGCUGUACGGUGGUGCCCUCAUUGUCUCCAUGCCCUCGGAUACCCUGCAGCGAGAUCAUUUCACCGGUUCGACGCGCAGCAGCCUCAGUUCCUAUUCCGAGGGCUGAAGGUCCUGGGACAGGAGUCUGUCGGUGGACAAACGGAGGAACAAUAGAAUGCGGCAUCAGAACAUCAGUUCCAGCGGCGACGACGACGACAGACAGCUGUGCGCAGAAUGCAACAAAACAAAAAUUGUCAGCCAUCCAUUAAGGCUUCCGCCGGAGGAAAGGAGAACGCUUCUCUCCCUGCUUAUAGAUAGAUAGAUAGAGAGUGUAUUCAGAUACAGAUACAUAUAUUUUAGCUGGACAUGUUCGUGGGUAUGUCGUGCCAAGCAGCGCGUCAGGUGAAGCUUAAGUUUUUCGUGUCGUAACCCGUAAACCGUAACGCCGUAUGGUAUAAGUUUAAUUUUAUGAUUUUGCAUUGUAUGUUAGCUUAUUAUUCUAAUAAUAUUAUUACUAUGUACAUGUCUAUCGAUCAGUUGAAUAAUCCAAUUCGUUAAAUUAUCAUGCCAAUGCCGCAGAUACAGGUACUGCUGCCUGUACUCGCAUCAGGGCAUCAAAUAUGUUAAAUGUGCACGAGCCGUCGCGAGAAAAACUAAAUCUACUUAAUAUUUAUCUAUGUUUAGCACACAACACAAUGGACAAACAAACAAACAAACAAACAUACAUACGUACACCAAACAAAUAUCUUUGUUGACCUUAUCGCUAUUGUAAAUAUAUCUAUUAACAUACACACAU
This 6837-nucleotide unclassified non-coding RNA is filed under the name Drosophila ananassae. RNAcentral's name for it is "GF13464". Lineage: Eukaryota; Metazoa; Arthropoda; Insecta; Diptera; Drosophilidae. The record is from RNAcentral.